GCCUUGUGGUGUAAUACACAUUGAAUUGCAAAUUCAAAGAAGCAGCUUCAACCUGCCGGGGCUU
Molecule: transfer RNA, 64 nt
Filed under: Mystacina tuberculata (New Zealand lesser short-tailed bat)
Lineage: Eukaryota; Metazoa; Chordata; Mammalia; Chiroptera; Mystacinidae
Description: tRNA-Cys
Rfam family: tRNA
About the family: Transfer RNA (tRNA) molecules are approximately 80 nucleotides in length. Their secondary structure includes four short double-helical elements and three loops (D, anti-codon, and T loops).
Source: RNAcentral